CUGUUGCUCAUGCGAGGUUAUGUUUGAGUGGGGGGAAGUCUCCUCUCGAUGAGGUGUAUCCUCACUGCUUCUCUCCACAGCGGCCUCAUCAUGAGGUGUAUCCUCACUGCUUCUCUCCACAGCGGCCUCAUCAUGAGGUGUAUCCUCACUGCUUCUCUCCACAGCGGCCUCAUCAUGAGGUGUAUCCUCACUGCUUCUCUCCACAGCGGCCUCUCGAUGAGGUGUAUCCUCACUGCUUCUCUCCACAGCGGCCUCUCGAUGAGGUGUAUCCUCACUGCUUCUGUCCACAGCGGCCUCAUCAUGAGGUGUAUCCUCACUGCUUCUCUCCACAGCGGCCUCUCGAUGAGGUGUAUCCUCACUGCUUCUCUUCACAGCGGCCUCCGUUUCUGCAGCGGCCUC
Long non-coding RNA from Clupea harengus (Atlantic herring), 399 nucleotides. NCBI's taxonomy places the organism in Eukaryota, Metazoa, Chordata, Actinopteri, Clupeiformes, Clupeidae. The record is from Ensembl.